CCUACGGGUGGCAGCAGUCGAGAAUCAUUCACAAUGGGGGAAACCCUGAUGGAGCGACGCCGCGUGGGGGAAUGAAGGUCUGCGGAUUGUAAACCCCUGUCAUGUGGGAGCAAAGUAAAAAGAUAGUACCACAAGAGGAAGAGACGGCGAACGCGGGCCCAGCAGCCGCGGGAAUACAGAGGUCUCAAGCGUUGUUCGGAACCACUGGGCGUAAAGAGGGCGUAGGCUGUUUCGUACGUCGGGUGUGAAAGGCGCGGGCUCAACCCGCGGACGGCACCUGAUACUGCGAGACUAGAGUACUGGAGGGGGAACCGGCAUUCUCGGUGUAGCUGUGAACUGCGUAGAUAUCGCG
Molecule: ribosomal RNA, 352 nt
Filed under: uncultured bacterium
Lineage: Bacteria
Description: partial 16S ribosomal RNA
Rfam family: Bacterial small subunit ribosomal RNA
Source: RNAcentral